CACCCCAGAUGACAACAUGGAAAUUCGUUUAAUGUCGUGUUGACACGUGUCCCGUACGGACGAAACUCAGUGUUUCAUUUAAAUGUGUAUCAUCGUGGGCUUUCUUUGUUUGGUGCAUGUUGGGCUCUGGUUUUGCCAUCCGGCCCGAGAAGAUUGGAAUCGCAUUCUAACGAGACUUCUCUUUGGCGGAACUUGGCGGAGUUUAGGGUUCGGAUCUCUUCGCUUUGUUCUGCAGCGACUUCUGAUCUUCCUCUGUAUAACUGAAACGCUUUCAGUUAUGUCUCUUCGUGUUUAAUCCCUUCUUAAUUCGAAGCCUUGAAUGUGAUCUUUUUCUUCGGCGAGUCAGUAUAUCGAAGAGUAUAAAGGGGUCAGCAUUCCCCCUCUCGAAACCAUCUUCUAAUUCUUUCUUACUACGUUUACUGAGCUUUCUGUUUAACUCAAUCACGAGAGACACUUAUCGUCGUCUUCCCACCGAUUUUAGGGUUUUCCAUCUUCUUCCAUUUCAGACAACAACAAUGGAGUUUCAACGAUUGACUCAAAUUGUUGUGGAGAAUCUUUGUGUGGGUCUUCAAUUGUGUCUUCCUCUAAUCAAAACAUAAGGCUUAUUCUCCCCUAAUCCUUAAAUUAAGUUUACUCUGACCUUAUGCUUAUCAUUGGCUUUGUGGCUUUGCGGCUGCGCCUACACACAAGGCGUGAUCGACAUCAAAUUUCACGAGUUUGACGUUGCAAAAGGUGAGUCUUUCCAUCCGAACGGUAUCUCCAUGAACGCAUCAUACUCUUCAGAGGCGGCAUCUUCGUGCGAUUCGUCUCCGUUUAGUAUGGUGUUUACUUCUAGCGGUAAGAGGGCUUUGCGGCGUACCGGGUCGAACUUUUAAAUUUCACUGAGAAGGGAUAUGACAGAGGAGAGAGAUGAAAGUGAUUGAAGUAGCAGUUGAUGACGAUUGGUUGUCUCCAUCGCCGAAGAUUGUCUUCGAUAAAAGAAAAAAAUCCAUGGAAGAUUCUACUAUUAAAGCUUUGAGGUAGUUUUCUAUAUCCUGAGUAUUUGUCAUAUAUGUGCUUCCCAUGUUGCUAUUAGAAGCUACGGUGUGAACACUGAUAGUUUUAAUUUUAUAAUGCGCUUUGAUAAUAUCAUCUAGAAAGUUUCUUUGUUAACUUUGAUUCUUAGGUUUUGAAUUUAAAUAUGCAAUAUAUUAGAAGCUAUGGUUUUGUAUGUCUAUACUUUCUAUGUUACUAUUAAAAUCUACUAUUUUUUCCAACGUUAUAUAUCCCAUGGUCAAUUUCACUUUCACAUGAAUCUAUAAGUUUGGAUGCUGCUAACUGUCAUUUGUUAAUUCGCUGUGUGUUAAUCUCUAGAAGAAUCUGGAAUUUCUCUUCUAAGUGUGUUGGACAUGUUUCGUUUCCAUUCAUUUAAAGAAUUUAAAGAAUUUGAAACUAAUUGUCGUCUAAGAGGUGAGCUUAACUCUGGUAAGUUCUGACGUUCUUAUAAUAUGAUGGUUUUAUCUGUAUUGAGGCUGGAAGCUUAUCUUUUGUUUAUGUUCAAUUUUUUUCUGAAUUUCAUUCAGAGGAAGAGGAAAUAACCAUGGAUGGGUCUUAAAAUGGUAGGUUUACUUUACUGUGUUAAAGUUUGUUUUGUGGCAUUGUUACGCUAUUAUAUUGACACUAUUAUUUAGAAUUGGAAAAAUCCAACGCCACUGGGCUGAAUGAUCAAAAGCCCAACCUUGAAGCUGAUGAAUCUGAGUUAGAUUACGAAGAUAAAUCUGACUCUUGACUCUGAUGAGGUAGAUUUUAACUACGUUUAAGUAGUGCAACGUUUAUUUAUUUUUAUUUUUUUGAUGAGUUGUGAGUAGCAUAGACUCACUUAAUUUGUUGAGAGCCAUGAUCUUGAUACUGAUUUCGGAAAUGUGAGGCAUGUUUUCUUUAUUUAGUUUUAGAUGGGUUCAAAUGAUGAUAAGUCAGAAGAAGAGGAGGAGGAAACAACAGUAAAGGUAUUUUUCUAAAAAAAUGGCCUUUUGCACUGAGAGCUUACACACUUUUUUGCUUUGGAUCAAUAAUGUAAGGAAUAAAGAAAAGGUGGAACCACGAAGCAAGAGACCAAAUGGUGGAGCAAUGGACAACAACAACAUAGUUGUGUCAAAGAAUCAGAAGUUGCAAGUCAGCAGAAGCCGUCAGGAGAGCAUAAGUGGCACAAGUGGGGCGGUAUUUAUCCUCCAAAAAGAGACUAGAGAACGACCAAGUCACAUUUUUCAUAUAAAGUUUUGAUAGUUUUUCCUUAUGGUGAAUGGUUGAAUGGAUGAAGAUGUUGUCGUUUGAGAUAUACAAUGUUUUUUAAUGAAUUUGUUUGUUUUCAAAUGAGUAGUAAUAAUAAACAUUCUGCCUUUUGUUUAA
This is a long non-coding RNA of Brassica napus (rape), 2385 nucleotides long. RefSeq lists it as uncharacterized. The record is from RefSeq and is a predicted model, not a curated record. The transcript has 2 exons. Lineage: Eukaryota; Viridiplantae; Streptophyta; Magnoliopsida; Brassicales; Brassicaceae.